RNAcentral lists this ribosomal RNA (425 nucleotides) under uncultured bacterium. RNAcentral's name for it is "partial 16S ribosomal RNA". It matches the Rfam family "Bacterial small subunit ribosomal RNA", at positions 354 to 796 of the family's 1533-position model. The record is from RNAcentral.
GUGGGGAAUCUUGCGCAAUGGGCGAAAGCCUGACGCAGCCAUGCCGCGUGAAUGAUGAAGGUCUUAGGAUUGUAAAAUUCUUUCACCGGGGACGAUAAUGACGGUACCCGGAGAAGAAGCUCCGGCUAACUUCGUGCCAGCAGCCGCGGUAAUACGAAGGGGGCUAGCGUUGCUAGGAAUUACUGGGCGUAAAGGGCGCGUAGGCGGACAGCUUAGUCAGAGGUGAAAGCCCAGGGGUCAACCUUGGAAUUGCCUUUGAUACUGGCUGUCUUGAGUUUGGGAGAGGUUAGUGGAACUCCGAGUGUAGAGGUGAAAUUCGUAGAUAUUCGGAAGAACACCAGUGGCGAAGGCGACUCACUGGCCCAAUACUGACGCUGAGGCGCGAAAGCGUGGGGAGCAAACAGGAUUAGAAACCCCUGUAGUCC